RNAcentral lists this ribosomal RNA (875 nucleotides) under Streptomyces sp. KAR23. RNAcentral describes it as "bacterial SSU rRNA". It matches the Rfam family "Bacterial small subunit ribosomal RNA", at positions 55 to 944 of the family's 1533-position model. The record is from RNAcentral. Lineage: Bacteria; Bacillati; Actinomycetota; Actinomycetes; Kitasatosporales; Streptomycetaceae.
AUGCAAGUCGAACGAUGAAGCCUUUCGGGGUGGAUUAGUGGCGAACGGGUGAGUAACACGUGGGCAAUCUGCCCUGCACUCUGGGACAAGCCCUGGAAACGGGGUCUAAUACCGGAUGACACUCUUUCUCGCAUGGGGGAGGGUUGAAAGCUCCGGCGGUGCAGGAUGAGCCCGCGGCCUAUCAGCUUGUUGGUGGGGUGAUGGCCUACCAAGGCGACGACGGGUAGCCGGCCUGAGAGGGCGACCGGCCACACUGGGACUGAGACACGGCCCAGACUCCUACGGGAGGCAGCAGUGGGGAAUAUUGCACAAUGGGCGGAAGCCUGAUGCAGCGACGCCGCGUGAGGGAUGACGGCCUUCGGGUUGUAAACCUCUUUCAGCAGGGAAGAAGCGCAAGUGACGGUACCUGCAGAAGAAGCACCGGCUAACUACGUGCCAGCAGCCGCGGUAAUACGUAGGGUGCGAGCGUUGUCCGGAAUUAUUGGGCGUAAAGAGCUCGUAGGCGGCUUGUCGCGUCGGAUGUGAAAGCCCGGGGCUUAACCCCGGGUCUGCAUUCGAUACGGGCAGGCUAGAGUGUGGUAGGGGAGAUCGGAAUUCCUGGUGUAGCGGUGAAAUGCGCAGAUAUCAGGAGGAACACCGGUGGCGAAGGCGGAUCUCUGGGCCAUUACUGACGCUGAGGAGCGAAAGCGUGGGGAGCGAACAGGAUUAGAUACCCUGGUAGUCCACGCCGUAAACGUUGGGAACUAGGUGUUGGCGACAUUCCACGUCGUCGGUGCCGCAGCUAACGCAUUAAGUUCCCCGCCUGGGGAGUACGGCCGCAAGGCUAAAACUCAAAGGAAUUGACGGGGGCCCCGCACAAGCAGCGGAGCAUGUGU